This 253-nucleotide ribosomal RNA is filed under the name uncultured bacterium. RNAcentral's name for it is "partial 16S ribosomal RNA". It matches the Rfam family "Bacterial small subunit ribosomal RNA", at positions 524 to 776 of the family's 1533-position model. The record is from RNAcentral.
GACGUAGGGUGCGAGCGUUGUCCGGAUUUAUUGGGCGUAAAGAGCUCGUAGGCGGCUUGUCGCGUCGGCUGUGAAAACCCGCGGCUCAACCGCGGGCCUGCAGCCGAUACGGGCAGGCUAGAGUUCGGUAGGGGAGACUGGAAUUCCUGGUGUAGCGGUGAAAUGCGCAGAUAUCAGGAGGAACACCGGUGGCGAAGGCAGGUCUCUGGGCCGAAACUGACGCUGAGGAACGAAAGCGUGGGGAGCGAACAGG